RNAcentral lists this non-coding RNA (1102 nucleotides) under Pongo abelii (Sumatran orangutan). Lineage: Eukaryota; Metazoa; Chordata; Mammalia; Primates; Hominidae. The record is from RNAcentral.
GAACACAAAAUGGCGACACGUGGUUAGCAUUCGUCGCCAACGAGAAAUUGGGGUCGGCCCGAAAGCUCUAGAAUGCACCCCUAUUCCUCCCCGGGGCCAUUCCCGCUCAACGAGUUUUAUGACCUAAAAAACCCCACAGGCUGGUCUGAAGAGGAAGACACUUAAAGAUGAAGUGCUUAAUUCAAGGUCACAGAAUGUCGGGGAUGGACCUCCAGAUUUCCUUACUGGAAAACAAGCUCAGGGCUCCCACUGAUUGUACAUUAUGAGACAGAGUCUUCUUGCUAUGUUGCCCAGGCUGGUCUUGAACUCCUAACCUCAAGCGAUCCUCCCAUCUUGGCCUCCCAGGUGUCAGGAUUACAGGCAUGUGCUAUCACACCCAACCUGAUACAUUGCCUUUAUAAAUUUUUUUUUCUUUAUUCUAAAAAACAGAAAAAACAAAACUGGAUACAUGUGCAGAACAUGCAGAUGGAGUCUCACUCUGUAGCCCAAGCUGGAGUGGCGUGAUCUCGACUCACUGCAACCUCCGCCUCCUGGGCUCAAGUGAUUCUCGUGCCUCAGCCUCCUGAGUAGCUGGGACUACAGGUCAUAGAAUUUUCCACACUCCUUGACGGAGGUUCUUAACCCUUAUCCAUCAGCAUUCUCAGACAGCACCUCCGGUUAGGGACAGUAUCUGACCGUCCGACAUCCCUGCAGCCCCCAUGCUGUCACACAGACUCAGCCUCAGGUAGAUGGUUUCCGUAGAUGGUGGCUUUCUUUGGACCCUUGAUAUCAACCAGUUACUAUUUGACUCUUCUGCAGAACCCCAUGUUGACCCCUGCUUUGAGGUGGCAGCGUUAACACUACUCUUUGUUAUAAGCUCUCGUCUGGGGCAACUCAGGAGAACGGGACCAGAUGUGCAGAGGUAAUGAAUACCAGGGAAUCAGGAAACCACUGGAUCAGUUCUUUGAGCCAUAGAACAACACUCAUCCCAGCAGCUGGGAAGCUAUCUGCAAAAGUCCAUCUGCAGAAAGGGCUUCCUGGUCUUGCGUGUGGCUGGGCCAUUUCUCUGGAUGCAGGUUUUUCAUUAUACAGUCUUCUCAAAGGACCACCUGCUCUCAACACC